Molecule: ribosomal RNA, 468 nt
Filed under: uncultured bacterium
Lineage: Bacteria
Description: partial 16S ribosomal RNA
Rfam family: Bacterial small subunit ribosomal RNA
Source: RNAcentral
GACGAACGCUGGCGGCGUGCUUAACACAUGCAAGUCGAACGGAAAGGCCCUGCUUUUGUGGGUUUCUCGAUUGGCGAACGGGUGAGUAACACGUGAGUAACCUGCCCUUGACUUUGGGAUAACUUCAGGAAACUGGGGCUAAUACCGGAUAGGAGCUCCUGCUGCGUGGGGGUGGUUGGAAAGUUUCGGCGGUUGUGGAUGGACUCGCUGCUUAUCAGCUUGAUGGUGUGGUAGGUGCGUACCAAGGCUUUGACGGGUAGCCGGCCUGAGAGGGUGACCGGCAACCUUGGGACUGAGAGACGGACCAGACUCCAACGGGAGGCAGCAGUCGGGAACCUUGCACAAUGGGCGGACGUCUGAGGUAGCAACGCUGCGUGCGGGAUGCCGGCCUUUUGGUUGUAAACCGCUUUCGAAUGUGACGAAGCGUGAGUGACGGUAAUGGGUAAAGAAGCACCGGCUAACUACGUG